UUAGGAAAGUGAACCUAACAUCUUCCACCUCUUGCGAUCUUUCCAUUUUCAUAUUUGUCUCCCAGGUUCUCCCUUUCGAAUGUCGCGUGUGCUUUACUCGUCUUCGCCUUUUGCUCUGGGAUGUAAAUUGAUGUUCCUCGUAUCGUGGAGUGCGUAGUGGUCGCCAUCUAGACGCAGCUCAGUUCCAGAUGUAGGGUCCGACCUUACAAAUUCGCACUUCCGUGGCUAGGGAUCUCAUAUAUAUAGAAGCUUGACUAUUGGUGAGUCCUCAUGUUCUGAGGACCGAGCUUGAUUUCCCUUUUGUCUUUACUUUCAGUUCUUGGAACUUGAUGUACGGGAUACGUCCCGAUCAAUCUUAUGUACUAGAUGGCUUUGAGACGAUGUUUAGACUUUCGCUUUUCUCUAUAAAACUUUUAUAUGUCGAAACU
Long non-coding RNA from Solanum tuberosum (potato), 428 nucleotides. RefSeq lists it as uncharacterized. Lineage: Eukaryota; Viridiplantae; Streptophyta; Magnoliopsida; Solanales; Solanaceae. The transcript is spliced from 3 exons. The record is from RefSeq and is a predicted model, not a curated record.